GAUGAACGCUGGCGGCGUGCCUAAUACAUGCAAGUCGAGCGAACAGACGAGGAGCUUGCUCCUCUGACGUUAGCGGCGGACGGGUGAGUAACACGUGGAUAACCUACCUAUAAGACUGGGAUAACUUCGGGAAACCGGAGCUAAUACCGGAUAAUAUAUUGAACCGCAUGGUUCAAUAGUGAAAGACGGUUUUGCUGUCACUUAUAGAUGGAUCCGCGCCGCAUUAGCUAGUUGGUAAGGUAACGGCUUACCAAGGCAACGAUGCGUAGCCGACCUGAGAGGGUGAUCGGCCACACUGGAACUGAGACACGGUCCAGACUCCUACGGGAGGCAGCAGUAGGGAAUCUUCCGCAAUGGGCGAAAGCUUGACGGAGCAACGCCGCGUGAGUGAUGAAGGUCUUCGGAUCGUAAAACUCUGUUAUUAGGGAAGAACAAAUGUGUAAGUAACUAUGCACGUCUUGACGGUACCUAAUCAGAAAGCCACGGCUAACUACAU
This 496-nucleotide ribosomal RNA is filed under the name uncultured bacterium. RNAcentral's name for it is "partial 16S ribosomal RNA". It matches the Rfam family "Bacterial small subunit ribosomal RNA", at positions 28 to 506 of the family's 1533-position model. The record is from RNAcentral.